Molecule: ribosomal RNA, 836 nt
Filed under: uncultured archaeon
Lineage: Archaea
Description: bacterial SSU rRNA
Rfam family: Archaeal small subunit ribosomal RNA
Source: RNAcentral
UUCCGGUUGAUCCCGCCGGACCCCACUGCUAUCGAGGUGGGACUAAGCCAUGCUAGUCGAACGAACUUAGGUUAGUGGCAUACUGCUCAGUAACACGUAGCUAACCUACCCUUAAGACGGGGACAACCCCGAGAAAUUGGGGCUAAUCCCAGAUAGGUGUGAUGUCCUGGAAUGGUAUCACGCUCAAAUGUGUUCGCACGCUUAAGGAUGGGGCUGCGGCCGAUCAGGCAGUUGGCGAGGUAACGGCUCACCAAACCUUUGACCGGUACGGGCCAUGAGAGUGGUAGCCCGGAGAUGGACACUGAGACAAGGGUCCAGGCCCUACGGGGCGCAGCAGGCGCGAAACCUCCUCAAUGCACAAACGUGUGAAGGGGUUACCUCGAGUGCCACCUGAAGAAGGUGGCUUUUCUGUGGUCUAAAAAGCCUAGGGAAUAAGAGGGGGGCAAGACUGGUGUCAGCCGCCGCGGUAACACCAGCCCCUCGAGUGGUGGGGAUGAUUAUUUGGCCUAAAGCGUCCGUAGCCGGCCGUGAAAGUCUUCCGUUAAAUCCAGCGUCUCAAGCGUUGGACCGCGGGAGAUACUACAUGGCUAGAGAGUGGGAGAGGUCAGCGGUAUUCUGGGGGUAGGGGCGAAAUCCUUUGAUCCCCGGAGGACCACCAGUGGCGAAGGCUGCUGACUAGAACACGUCUGACGGUCAGGGACGAAAGCUGGGGGUAGCGAACCGGAUUAGAUACCCGGGUAGUCCCAGCCGUAAACGAUGCAUGCUAGGUGUUGGGUUGGCCACGAGCCACCCCAGUGCCGCAGGGAAGCCGUUAAGCAUGCCGCCUGGGAAGUACG